RNAcentral lists this ribosomal RNA (429 nucleotides) under uncultured Acidobacteriota bacterium. RNAcentral describes it as "bacterial SSU rRNA". It matches the Rfam family "Bacterial small subunit ribosomal RNA", at positions 355 to 774 of the family's 1533-position model. The record is from RNAcentral. Lineage: Bacteria; Pseudomonadati; Acidobacteriota.
UGGGGAAUUGUUCGCAAUGGGCGCAAGCCUGACGACGCAACGCCGCGUGGAGGACGAAGAUCUUCGGGUCGUAAACUCCUGUCGAGCGGGAAGAACGCUUCCCGGGUGAAUAAUCCGGGGAAUUGACGGUACCGCUAAAGGAAGCCCCGGCUAACUCCGUGCCAGCAGCCGCGGUAAUACGGGGGGGGCAAGCGUUGUUCGGAAUUACUGGGCGUAAAGGGCUCGUAGGCGGCCAACUAAGUCGGAUGUGAAAUCCCCAGGCUUAACCUGGGAACUGCAUCCGAUACUGGAUGGCUUGAAUCCGGGAGAGGGAUGCAGAAUUCCAGGUGUAGCGGUGAAAUGCGUAGAUAUCUGGAGGAAUACCGGUGGCGAAGGCGGCAUCCUGGACCGGCAUUGACGCUGAGUGAGCGAAAGCCAGGGGAGCAAACG